RNAcentral lists this ribosomal RNA (490 nucleotides) under uncultured bacterium. RNAcentral describes it as "partial 16S ribosomal RNA". It matches the Rfam family "Bacterial small subunit ribosomal RNA", at positions 30 to 507 of the family's 1533-position model. The record is from RNAcentral.
AUUGAACGCUGGCGGCAGGCCUAACACAUGCAAGUCGAACGGUAACAGAAAGCAGCUUGCUGCUUUGCUGACGAGUGGCGGACGGGUGAGUAAUGUCUGGGAAACUGCCUGAUGGAGGGGGAUAACUACUGGAAACGGUAGCUAAUACCGCAUAACGUCGCAAGACCAAAGAGGGGGACCUUCGGGCCUCUGGCCAUCGGAUGUGCCCAGAUGGGAUUAGCUUGUUGGUGGGGUAACGGCUCACCAAGGCGACGAUCCCUAGCUGGUCUGAGAGGAUGACCAGCCACACUGGAACUGAGACACGGUCCAGACUCCUACGGGAGGCAGCAGUGGGGAAUAUUGCACAAUGGGCGCAAGCCUGAUGCAGCCAUGCCGCGUGUAUGAAGAAGGCCUUCGGGUUGUAAAGUACUUUCAGCGGGGAGGAAGGGAGUAAAGUUAAUACCUUUGCUCAUUGACGUUACCCGCAGAAGAAGCACCGGCUAACUCCGUG